ACGCCAGACCCUUCGACGAGUUUCUCUAAGGAAUGAAAUGAUGAUGAAAUGUUCAUAAUGAUAAUGGUGUUACUCGAAAACUAGGCUCAAUGCGUCCUUGUUGAGUUGCAUAAAUUGCCACUUUUGGAUUCACAUUGAUGGAGAGUUCUUCUAGGAAGCAUGUGCAGAUGUUACAGCACCUCGAGGGGUUGUGAAUAUGACGAGGACUCUAUGUUCUCCUUAAAUCGAGGGGCUGGGCGAAGUAUGCAUGCAAUGGAGGGAGGACAGAAUUAGGGGUCUAGGGUGGGUCACUUUACUUGGCUACCUCCACGUGGUGCGACCUGGCUAAUCGAUAACGUUUUCCAAGAUUUAUAUCUUGCGAAACUUUCUAGAGCUGACUACUAUGGAAUACUUUGAACAUUCUUAUUAACUUUAUUCUUGAAUGGAGAAAAAUAAAUAGAGAACGCGAUCCGGUCGCUAACAUUUCGCGAGAAUUUCCGAGUUUGGACAAUUCAUGAAUCACCCUCGAGAAUUACC
Long non-coding RNA from Eufriesea mexicana, 516 nucleotides. RefSeq lists it as uncharacterized. The transcript is spliced from 4 exons. The record is from RefSeq and is a predicted model, not a curated record. NCBI's taxonomy places the organism in Eukaryota, Metazoa, Arthropoda, Insecta, Hymenoptera, Apidae.